This 408-nucleotide ribosomal RNA is filed under the name uncultured eukaryote. Its description in RNAcentral is "eukaryotic LSU rRNA". It matches the Rfam family "Eukaryotic large subunit ribosomal RNA", at positions 686 to 1090 of the family's 3401-position model. The record is from RNAcentral.
GCAAAUUCUAUAAUGAUAGUUGAUAUUAUGUAGAAUAUAAUGAAAGUAAAUAAUUAAUUUUCUAUUAAAACCACUUUUUAAAACCAUGGUUGAAAAAUUUGAGUGAAAGUUUAUCUGCUGAGACCCGAAAGAUGGUGAUCUAUGACUGAAUAGGGUGAAGUCAGGGGAAACUCUGAUGGAAGCUCGAAGGGAUUCUGACGUGCAAAUCGAUCCUCAAAUUUGGUUAUAGGGGCGAAAGACUCAUCGAAUCAUUAAGUAGCUGGUUCCCUCCGAAGUUUCCCUCAGGAUAGCUGGAGUAUAUAUUUUUUAUAAAUGAUAAGUUAGAUUAGGUAAAGCGAAUGAUUAGAAGUAUGGGGAAAAAAAUUUUCUUCACUUAUUCUCAACUUAAUAGUCUAUAUUAUAAGAAAU